This 238-nucleotide ribosomal RNA is filed under the name uncultured bacterium. RNAcentral's name for it is "partial 16S ribosomal RNA". It matches the Rfam family "Bacterial small subunit ribosomal RNA", at positions 15 to 236 of the family's 1533-position model. The record is from RNAcentral.
GAUCAGGCUCAGGAUGAACGCUGGCGGCGUGCCUAACACAUGCAAGUCGAGCGAAGCAUUUUAAAGGAAGUUUUCGGAUGGAAUUUGAAAUGACUGAGCGGCGGACGGGUGAGUAACGCGUGGGUAACCUGCCUCAUACAGGGGGAUAACAGUUAGAAAUGACUGCUAAUACCGCAUAAGCACACAGUACCGCAUGGUACAGUGUGAAAAACUCCGGUGGUAUGAGAUGGACCCGCGU